RNA transcript from Solanum verrucosum, 1466 nucleotides. It is a transcript of the gene named replication protein A 70 kDa DNA-binding subunit B-like, with no coding region annotated. NCBI's taxonomy places the organism in Eukaryota, Viridiplantae, Streptophyta, Magnoliopsida, Solanales, Solanaceae. The record is from RefSeq and is a predicted model, not a curated record. The transcript is spliced from 9 exons.
GGUUAACUAUAUUUCCUACAAACAUGGUACUAAGAGUGAACAUUGACCAAAUAGAACCAGCAACACGAGAUUGGAUUUGCGAAGUUCAAAUUGUCGAAAUAGGACGCCCACGAGAAAUCCUUGACAAGAAAUGUACAUUCCAAAAUUUGAUUUUGGAAGAUGAAGAGGAAUGCCAAAUUAAGGCUGUUAUGUACGCUGACGAAAUUGAGCAGUAUGCAGCUACGCUUAAACUCCUCCAUACCUACCUGAUCUCUACUGCAAGAGUGAAAGUCUCCCCAGCUUCAUACGGCAAGCCAAUACAUAAAUUUUACUGGAUUCUUGACAAAGAAACAGUAAUUGAACAAAUCAAACCAUCUCAUGAAGUUGAAAAACCACUUCCACCGCCAACCAAGCUGAAUAUCACAAGCUUUGACCGCAUUCCUCAUCUGAUGUUGAUUCUGCUGUUGAAAUAGAUAUACUGGCAAUUGUUCUUCAUUGUGGUCCUCAAAAAAAACGUCGGUCGCAGUCAUCAUAGGUGUCCAGAUAUUACCCUUUGUGACAAUCAGAAAACUCAGUUUCUCUUCACUCUAUGGGAGGAUUUCGGAGAAAUAGAAGGACAUGAAAUUGCCUCUAAAAUGGCAACAGAGGCAGAUCUGUUUGUACUUCUCGGAAGAAGUAUAGGAAUCUCUACUUAUCAAGGGUUGUCACUGCAGACUAGGUACAAUUCCACACUACAUGUGAAUCCGAAUUACCCACAUGUAGUGGCACUCAUGAACAGGGCAAAAGAAAACAAAACAAUGUUGUUAAGUUGUCCAUCAGAGAAAACCUCAACAAGCUCAUCUACCACUCCCAUGAUAGUCACUACUGCUGGCCAACAACUUCUCUCUAUUGCAGAAAUCUCAUCAGCACCUUCUAUGGGAGUGUUCUAUGUUGAAGCAGAGAUGGCCAUAUUAGAUGAAUUCCAAGACUUUUGUGUGCUUGAAUGCUCGGGAUGCAAACAGAAGAAGCGGACAAAGGAUAGAAAGGAUUUUGAAUGUCCAAAAUGCAAUCGGAAAACAGCCUUAGUGCCUCGCUGUAGCUUUCAAAUUGAUCUUAUUGACAAUACUGCUACAACCACAUCAUCUAUCUCUGCUGAAUUAGGAGAAAAAAUAUUGUCCAUGACAGCAGAAGACAUAUUUGACAUAACUUGCACUAAGCGACAAUCAUUGUCUCUUACUCAUGUCCAUGAGAUGUUGUCAAACAAAGUAUUCGCAAUUCAGCUAAGGAAGUCAUCUUGGGCCAGCUCAAAUACCACGCAUGCAACUUUGUCCAUUCUUUCCUACACGGAAAAACAACAUGCUCCACAGACCACCACUGAUAGGAAUUCUAAAAAGAUAAAACCUUUGGAAAUAAGUGAGGUAGAAGUGAUGGCAACAACUACUGCAGCUGGUUCUUCAAGUGCAUUGCCAAAAUUUGAACCACCCAUACCAACCUAAAAGGUCUAAAAG